UACGGAGGGUGCAAGCGUUGUCCGGAAUUAUUGGGCGUAAAGGGCAGGUAGGUGGUCUUAUAAGUCUACUGUGAAAUCCCCGGGCUUAACCCGGGACGUGCGGUGGAUACUGUAAGACUAGAGUGCUGGAGGGGUUCGUGGAAUUCCCGGUGUAGCGGUGAAAUGCGUAGAUAUCCGGAGGAACACCGGUGGCGGAGGCGACUUCCUGGGCCGAUUACUGACGCUGAGGCGCGAAAGCUAGGGGAGCGAACAGG
RNAcentral lists this ribosomal RNA (254 nucleotides) under uncultured bacterium. RNAcentral describes it as "partial 16S ribosomal RNA". It matches the Rfam family "Bacterial small subunit ribosomal RNA", at positions 524 to 776 of the family's 1533-position model. The record is from RNAcentral.